Molecule: long non-coding RNA, 1977 nt
Filed under: Triticum aestivum (bread wheat)
Lineage: Eukaryota; Viridiplantae; Streptophyta; Magnoliopsida; Poales; Poaceae
Description: long non-coding RNA (TAES_LNC003344)
Source: RNAcentral
UUUUUUUUUCUGGUUUUGGCUUAUUUUUAGGUUUUUCUUUCUUUCUUCUUUUAUUCACUGGGUUCGUUCUUCUUCUGUUUUUAACAUACUUACUAAAUAUUUUUUUAGAUAGGCUUCAAUACAUGAUGUUUUCAAAUACAUGAUGAACAUGUUUUCGAAUUUGCAUGAACAUUAUCUUAAUGUACGCUGAGCACCUUUUCUGCGUAUAGUGAUCAUUUUUUAAUGCUUGAUGAACUUUACUUUGCAAACAGUGAGCAUUUUUUAAUAUAUUGAACUUUCAGGUUGAACAUUUUUUUAAUGUAUACGAUGAAUAUUUUUGUAAUUUAGGUUGAGCAUUUUUUAAUAUAUACGGUGAUCUUUUUUGUAAUAUAGGUUGAACAUUUUCUUAAUACAUGAUGAAUUUUUUUGACAAUGUGUAUUUGAGAAAAUGUUCAGCAUGUUUUAAAAACUUAUUGCGUAAAAUCAUUCUAGCAUUUCGAGAAACACAUCAAUUUUUUAAUAAAAGGUUCACUGUUUUAGUGCACUAAUAUGUAAUCGCAAAAAAAAUACUAAUAUUAUGAUUAAAAAAUAAGUGAUUCAGGGCACGCAGCAGUGCUGGGCUCGGCCGCCGGCCCAGCGUGGCUACUAUAAUAUAAAGGAGGACCCGCCUGUAACUUAACGUAAGCGUCGCUGUGGCCGGUGGCUAGCGCGCUACGCCCGCGUGCCGCAGGUCGCAGGUUCGAAACCUGGUGUGCGCGAUUUUUCGUGUACUUUAUUUAUUUGUCCAGUUCGUUGAAAACUUUCGAACAAGUCCGAGCAAAAAAAAUUCUCUCACGGUUAACAUUUUUCUCGCAAAAAUAACGGGUAUUUAUGUGAUUACGUAUAAAGCAAGGGGUUUUUUUGCAAAAAAUAUGCCACGUCGGCACCCGACAGACGGGCCCCAACUGUCAGAUACACUGUCAGUACGUAUAAAUACGUGUUUUAGCCUGUUUUGGAAAAAUUUGGACGAAUGUUGGUACUGACACGCAAAAAUUAGCAAUCGUGGUACUAAUCUGCAUGUGAUGCCCGAAUUGUGGUACUUCUGUGCAAUUAACUCAGUGUCAAGAGAAGCAUCUUGGAGCAGCAUAUAUUGUGUGUGAGAGCGAGCAACGCGGUUUCCUGUUUCAGUACACAGUAGUAACAGAGGGGCAUGUUUUUCCUUGGGUACCUUUAUAUCGAUUAAGGAGGGUAAUCAAAGUAGAUGCAUUGCCAAUGCAUCUGUUAUUAUAUUCACCCACUAAUGACAAUUGCAACCAUACGGCCACACCAGCCACGUUGGCCGGUUUCACGUACAUUGCACUCUACACUGAACCUGUCAGAUAAGGGUCUGCACAGCAUCACAUAUCUAGAUCCCGGAGACCCAGGGUCUAAUCAUCAGAUAUUGUAAUCCGGGGGGUUAGCUAAGACUGAAAGAUCUGAAGAGACGUCUGCCCAAAAAGCCCUGUCAAAUGUUCACACCAUAGGCAGACCAUCAUGAUAUGGGAGGGCACACACCAGCAGGUUCAUUCGGCUAGUGAUGUACUCCCUCAGUAAAGAAAUAUAAAAGCGUUUAGAUCACUAAGGUACUAUGGACACGAACAAGGAUCAAGCAUGCAGACGUGAAGAUCGUGAUGCAUCACAGAAAUAUAGGUAACACCGGUAACCAGAACUACUCCUUCCAGUAUAAUAUAAGAGUAUAGUGUCCAAAAGGGAGUACUAAACCAGUAAAAUAGCAGACUGAAUAGAAAGAACACAACACGCAUCAAUGAGACGAUUCAGCUUCAAGUUUCUUGUCCAUACAUUCACAGCAGGAUGGUUUUGCCAAUUCCAUAGAUAGAGCAAAUGCCAAUUCUAAUCAUCAGAUAUUGUAAUCCGGGGGGUUAGCUAAGACUGAAAGAUCUGAAGAGACGUCUGCCCAAAAAGCCCUGUCAAAUGUUCACACCAUAGGCAGACCAUCAUGAUAUGGGAGGGCACACACCA